UACAGAGGUCUCAAGCGUUGUUCGGAUUUAUUGGGCGUAAAGGGUGCGUAGGCGGCGUGGUAAGUCGAGUGUGAAAUCUCGGGGCUCAACCCCGAAACUGCACUCGAUACUACCAUGCUAGAGGAUUGUAGAGGAGAUCGGAAUUCACGGUGUAGCAGUGAAAUGCGUAGAUAUCGUGAGGAAGACCAGUUGCGAAAGCGGAUCUCUGGGCAAUUCCUGACGCUGAGGCACGAAGGCUAGGGGAGCAAACGGG
Molecule: ribosomal RNA, 253 nt
Filed under: uncultured bacterium
Lineage: Bacteria
Description: partial 16S ribosomal RNA
Rfam family: Bacterial small subunit ribosomal RNA
Source: RNAcentral